GGAAAACUCACCAGGUCCAGACAUAGGUAGGAUUGACAGAUUGAGAGCUCUUUCUUGAUUCUAUGGGAGGUGGUGCAUGGCCGUUCUUAGUUGGUGGAUUGAUUUGUCUGGUUAAUUUCGUUAACGAACGAGACCCCUGCCUGCUAAAUAGGUACACAAAUGAUUAUUUAUUUAUGAGACUUUCUUAGAGGGACUUUUGUUAACUAAACAAAGGAAGUUAGGGGCAAUAA
RNAcentral lists this ribosomal RNA (230 nucleotides) under uncultured eukaryote. RNAcentral's name for it is "partial small subunit ribosomal RNA". It matches the Rfam family "Eukaryotic small subunit ribosomal RNA", at positions 1208 to 1456 of the family's 1831-position model. The record is from RNAcentral.